CUAUUCAAGGCCCAAGCCUCGCCCCACUCCUUCCUAUCGUCCAUCUGAGGAAAGUCAUACUUAUGAGCAGCCUCAAGCUGAUUAUGGGUUUCAGCCUGGGGUGAAUCGCCCUGGCGGAGAAAGUGAGUAUGGACGGAAGAGUGAGUAUGAAGAAGAGCCCACACCAGAAUAUGGAUCUGGAUAUGGGAGAAAGAGUGAGUAUGAAGAGCCUAAACCCCAGUAUGGAUCUGGGUAUGGAAGGAAGAGUGAGUACGAAGAGCCAAGUUCCGAGUAUGGAUCUGGGUAUGGGAGGAAGAGUGAGUAUGAAGAACCCACUCCUCAAUAUGGAUCUGGGUAUGGCCGGAAGAGUGAGUAUCAAGAGCCAAGUUCUGAGUAUGGGAGGAAGACUGAAUAUGAAGAACCCACUGCCCAGUAUGGAAGGAAAAGCGAGUAUGAAGAACCCGCUUCCGAAUAUGGAUCAGGGUACCGGAAGAAGAGUGAAUACGAGGAGCCAAGCUCGGAAUACGGGUCGGGUUAUGGGCGUAAGAACGAAUCCGAAGAAUACGGAUCUGGUGGAUAUGGCAGGAAGCCGAGCUAUGGACAAGAGGAAGGUGAGAGGCCCAGUUAUGGGCGUCCAAGCUACCAGGCUGAGGAGGGCGAAGGGUACGAGAGGCCUCACUAUGGAAGGUCCGAGGAGGAGGACUACAAGAAGCCCAGCUACGAGAGGCGUGGUGAUGACGAUGAGGGAUAUGGUCGCAAGAAAUAUGUGAGCACUCAAACUCAAUUUCUCUUCUUUGUAUUAAUUGAGUUUUUAGCACUUGAUCUUGAUCCUUUUAGGUUUACUGAUAUCUAUUGCCUAAUGGAGAUGCUUCAAUUUACAAGUGAUUAAACCGAAAGAUCAUUUGAUGAUGCUCAACUCUAACCAAAAUAACUAGAUGACGCCUCAUUUUAACUUUUAGAUUUGAUACACAUAGGCGAUCCUUUUGUUUUUGAUAGAAAAUGCUGCUGGUAAAAUGAAUAGUUCUUCAUUUAGCUCAUUGUAAGUAGCUCAUUAUUUUGUGUUCACUCUUAGGCUCGUUAGGUUUGGGAACAACUUAUUCCUGAAUUAAUUAUCCCAAGAUUGUUAUCCCACCCUCAAUGUGGGGAUCAACAUAACACUAUAAUCCCGAAAUAACUAAUCAUGUGAUAAGUUAUCCCGCGAUUUAAUCCCAACCAAACAUGGAAUAAACUCAUCCUAAAAUGAAUCCCAUGAUUGGUCAUGCCUCGUACCAAACGAGCGCUUUAAGUCUUAAUCCACACUUCUAGCAAAAGAAAGUGAAGAAUAACAAUGGGGUUAGGGGAAGGCACAUAUUGCCAUAUUGUGAACUACAAAAACCUUAGUGUGUUAAAGACAUGUCUGUGAUUGUUAAGUCUGUUAUGAAUUAUGAUUAGAGUUGAGUUUUUGAAGUUCUUACAAUUGAAUCCAUUACAUAUGUGAAAUUGCUGGUGACAAUUUAUGUUGUGCUGUGACAAAUAGGAUAAAUAUAUUUGUCACAACUCAAAUCGUCAUAAUUAGUACUUUUGGGGUUAUUUUCGUAAUUUGACAAGGAUGGAUCAAUAAAUUCACAUUUUUUUUGCAUUUAAAAUGCCCUCUAAAUUUUAUAUCACUGAACCAACUCCUAAACCACUAUCCGAUUUUCCAAAACACUGCCAAGGAAUACAACCCCAAGAAAUAAUCUUGCCCAAAAAAUAACCAUGUCAAAUUCAAACGGUUGUCUUCCAUUCUUUAUCCACUCCAAUAUUCUAUCCACUAUAUUUCAGCCAGCAAUAGUCUUGUUCCAAUCUUUUUGUCUUCUAUUGUUGUUUCUUAAUUCCAUUCUUCUUCAUUUUCAGCAUCUGAUUAUUUUUUUCCAGCUCUCUUUUUGUUCAUAAAUUUCACCUCACUAGCUAGUAUGCCUAUGUUGUUUUUAAGGGGAAAAAAAAGGUAUAUACUUAACUUGACAAAAAUGUGCAAAAAUAACCAUUGAAAUUGGUGGAAGCUUGUAUUGAAAAUAUGGUAGGUAUGAGGAUGCUGUUGAAGCUUUAGAAAGUUAGAAUGUUUGAAUAGAUAUAGUGAAAUUAUCUGAGAAAUCAUCUCGUAAUUCAAUAGUGGAUGAAAAGAAACUAAUAUUUAAUGAGCAACACAUGUCUAUGUUAGCAAUACUUUUGGCUGGAGUUGUUUUUGGAAAAUUAUUGAAACAUUAAUUUGCCAAGUAAAUUAUUUGGGCGAUUUUUCGAAAAGUAAAUGGAAUGUUCUUUUGCCCUCAAGGCCUAGCUCUAGUGGCAAAAGGUGGAGGAUUUGUGGUUUAGGUUGCAGGUUCAAGCUCCACACCAUGCAAAGUAAAACCCCGUAUUCAAGUGGAGAAGGGUAAAGGGGCGGACCCAUUAUCCACCGAGUUUAGAAGGUUGUGAUUGGUCCAAAGGGUGGGUCAUGACAAAUUUCUGGGUUAUAAAAAAAAAUAAUUUAAAAUGGAAUGUUCUUUAUUUUGUUAUGUUAAUUUAGGAUUUUGUUGUAUUUGAAUUGGAUUGGGUCAUGUAUUGGGCUUGAUAUUUUUGAUUGGGCCCUGGGUUAUUCUUUCAUUUUUGAAGUAGUAAAUUAUAAAUAAAAUAAACAAAAAAUAAAAUGAAUUGACUUACCUCGUUCCCCGACUAUAACUCAAUUCAUUGUCUCAUUUUUUAUUUUUGUGUACCGAGACUUUAUUUAUUUUAUUUAUAAAUUUACUACAAAAAAAAAGAAUGAUCAAGGGCUAAAAUUCAAAAAACCAGGCCCAAUACAUGAUCCAAUCUAAUCUAGAUACAUCAAAACCCUAAAUUAACAUAACAAAAUAGGGGUGUGUUUGCAAAGCCACGCUGGUAAUUAGAUUUGGUGUAACUGAGUUACCAAUUUCAAAAAAAAUAAAAUUAGAUUUGGUGUAACUGGGUAUAAUUACAGUGUUUGAUCUGUUUGUUUGGCCAAGUAAUUACUUGAUCAGCAGGUAAUUGGUGUAAUUGACAUGGGUAAUUAAACUCCAAUUUCCAAGGAGAGUUAUGAAUUGUUGGUAAUUACAAGCUAAUUACCUUUUAAUUUUUUCUUUCUAUUUCUAUUUUUUUGUUUUAAUUUAUUUUCUAUUUCUAUUAUUUUAAAUUAUUUUUAUAUUAUUAUUCUAAAAGUUUAAUUUUUAUUGUAUAUUAUUUGUAUUUCAUUUAUUUCUCAUUCUUAACCUUUACUUCAUGUGAUUCUAUGUAAUUUUUCGUAUUAUCUAUUUUUAUGCCAUGUUUAUUUAUUUCAUUGACAUAAUUUUGCUGGCAUUCUAAUUCUUAAAUUAAAGUAGAAAUUCAUUGUUGAUUAAGAUUAUAGACUUACGUUUUGCUAUUCUUUUAAAUCAUAUUUAUGUAUGUUAUGUUGAAAUUUGACAUAAGAGUAUAUGUUAAAUUUUUUUUUUUAUAAUUUAAAACUUAUGUUAUAUAUUUUUAGUUUCAUUUGUUCUAGUAAUUACACUAAUUUCAAUUACCAGAUGACUUUCCAAUCCCUUACGAACAUUCAAUUUAUCUUCCGAAAAAUCGCCCAAAUGAUUUACUUGAUAAAUCAAUCUUUCAAUAAUUUUCCAAAAACAAGUUUAGCUAAAAAUAUUGCUAACAUAGAGACGUGAUGCUCAUUACGUUCUACUUUCUUUUCAUCCACUACUGCAUUACGAGAUGAUUCUCGGAUUAUUUUACUCUAUUUAUUCAAAGAUUUCAAUCUUCUAAAGCUUUAACUGCAUCAUCAUACUUGUCAUAUUUUCAGUACAAGCUUCGACUAACUCCAAUGUUUAUUUUUGUACAUUCUUUCCAAGUUGAGUACAUACCUUGUUUUUUCCCCUUAAAAACAAAAUAAACAUACUAACCAAUGAGAUGAAAUUUACGAACGAAAGAGGGAGAGAAAAUAGCCGCAUGUUGAAAAUGAAGAAAACAACAAUGAAAGAUUGAAACAAGAGUAUUGUUGGAAGAAAUAGAGUAUUGGAGUGAAUAAAGAAUGGAACAGAGUUAUUUAUUGGGCAAGGUUGUAUUCCUUAGGUAGCGUUUUGGAAAACCGGGUGAUGGUUUAGUGGUUUUAAAUUUAGUAGGUUCAUCCGUACAACAUAGAUUUACAGGCAUGUCAAGCGUGAGGAAAAUGCAUUAUCCACUUGUUUUUGUUUUAAGAUUUGAACUCUUUUCCAAUCCAUGUGAUCUAAUUGGCAGGGUGAGGACAACUCCGACGACGAUGACGAGGAGAAGAAACAUCGCCACCACCACCACCGCAAACACUACGAUGAUUGAGCAGAGUGCUUUAUGAUCAUCUGAA
This 4297-nucleotide long non-coding RNA is filed under the name Solanum tuberosum (potato). RNAcentral's name for it is "long non-coding RNA (STUB_LNC003279)". Lineage: Eukaryota; Viridiplantae; Streptophyta; Magnoliopsida; Solanales; Solanaceae. The record is from RNAcentral.